Molecule: ribosomal RNA, 80 nt
Filed under: Candidatus Onthonaster equi
Lineage: Bacteria; Pseudomonadati; Bacteroidota; Flavobacteriia; Flavobacteriales; Weeksellaceae
Source: RNAcentral
UCUUCCCAUUCCGAACAGAGAAGUUAAGCCUUUCAGCGCCGAUGGUACUGCUAUUGCGGGAGAGUAGGUCGUCGCCAGUC